Molecule: transfer RNA, 70 nt
Filed under: Bathyteuthis abyssicola (deepsea squid)
Lineage: Eukaryota; Metazoa; Mollusca; Cephalopoda; Oegopsida; Bathyteuthidae
Description: tRNA-Cys
Source: RNAcentral
AGGUUUUAUAGUUUAUUUAAAAAUACAAAGUUGCAAACUUUGUGAUACAUGUAGAGAUUGUUAAGACUUA